Molecule: ribosomal RNA, 253 nt
Filed under: uncultured bacterium
Lineage: Bacteria
Description: partial 16S ribosomal RNA
Rfam family: Bacterial small subunit ribosomal RNA
Source: RNAcentral
UACGAAGGGGGCUAGCGUUGUUCGGAAUUACUGGGCGUAAAGCGCACGUAGGCGGACAUUUAAGUCAGGGGUGAAAUCCCAGAGCUCAACUCUGGAACUGCCUUUGAUACUGGGUGUCUUGAGUAUGGAAGAGGUGAGUGGAAUUCCGAGUGUAGAGGUGAAAUUCGUAGAUAUUCGCAAGAACACCAGUGGCGAAGGCGGCUCACUGGCCCGGUACUGACGCUGAGGCACGAAAGCGUGGGGAGCAAACAGG